RNAcentral lists this ribosomal RNA (155 nucleotides) under uncultured bacterium. Its description in RNAcentral is "partial 16S rRNA". It matches the Rfam family "Bacterial small subunit ribosomal RNA", at positions 355 to 507 of the family's 1533-position model. The record is from RNAcentral.
UAAGGAAUAUUGGUCAAUGGACGCAAGUCUGACCCAGCCAUGCCGCGUGGAGGAUGAAGGCCCUCUGGGUUGUAAACUUCUUUUAUUUGGGACUAAACACUUCUUUUCUAAGGAGCUUGACGGUACCGGAUGAAUAAGGACCGGCUAACUCCGUG